Molecule: long non-coding RNA, 476 nt
Organism: Trichoplusia ni (cabbage looper)
Lineage: Eukaryota; Metazoa; Arthropoda; Insecta; Lepidoptera; Noctuidae
Exons: 2
Source: RefSeq, a predicted model, not a curated record
GUUUCUACUAUAAUUCACAUAUUUUCAACUCGAUAUUGUAGAAAGCUCUACAAUCUAGAUAUGUGUGUCUAUCCAUGUGAGCUCCACAGCUGCCUUGUUUAUUUGAAAUACGUGAACCAAUUAACACAAAUAACUUUGAUUUCAGGAAAAAUUCAAGAAGGAAUUCAAGCAGCGUUUCACCUUUGGGAAAAAGCCAAGUAGAUUUGUUAAUGAUAGCUACGAGGAUGGACAAUCCUAUCGCACUCGGAUUUUAUCAUUCCGAUCAACAAACGACAGAAGUGGUUACUCAACCAGAAAAUCUAUAAACAUGCCGCCGGGGGAUACUUUGAAAGUUCCUUCUAGGAAUUCUUGCCAUUGUAUGGCUAGUCAGAAUCGAGAAAAUGGUUUCAAUUUAAUGAAUACUGAAGAUAUCGACGGCCAUGGCAACAGCAGGAGGUAUUUGAACAUAAGGAUGACCAACACAGACAUGGGCAAAA